Molecule: transfer RNA, 87 nt
Filed under: Vibrio cholerae
Lineage: Bacteria; Pseudomonadati; Pseudomonadota; Gammaproteobacteria; Vibrionales; Vibrionaceae
Description: tRNA-Leu
Rfam family: tRNA
About the family: Transfer RNA (tRNA) molecules are approximately 80 nucleotides in length. Their secondary structure includes four short double-helical elements and three loops (D, anti-codon, and T loops). Further hydrogen bonds mediate the characteristic L-shaped molecular structure. tRNAs have two regions of fundamental functional importance: the anti-codon, which is responsible for specific mRNA codon recognition, and the 3' end, to which the tRNAs corresponding amino acid is attached (by aminoacyl-tRNA synthetases). tRNAs cope with the degeneracy of the genetic code in two manners: having more than one tRNA (with a specific anti-codon) for a particular amino acid; and 'wobble' base-pairing, i.e. permitting non-standard base-pairing at the 3rd anti-codon position.
Source: RNAcentral
GCCCUGGUGGUGAAAUCGGUAGACACAAGGGAUUUAAAAUCCCUCGACUUUCGAGUCGUGCUGGUUCAAGUCCGGCCCGGGGCACCA